UGCAAGUCGAACGCGUGUAGCAAUACACGAGUGGCGCACGGGUGAGUAACGCGCGGAUAUCUGCCUUUUGGUUCGGAAUAACCCCGGGAAACUGGGGCUACUACCGGAUGGUUCCUUCGGGAUAAAGAUUUAUCGCCAAAAGAUGAGUCCGCGUACGAUUAGCUAGUUGGUGAGGUAAUGGCUCACCAAGGCGACGAUCGUUAGCUGGUCUGAGAGGACGAUCAGCCACACUGGGACUGAGACACGGCCCAGACUCCUACGGGAGGCAGCAGUGGGGAAUAUUGGACAAUGGGGGCAACCCUGAUCCAGCCAUGCCGCGUGAGUGAUGAAGGCCUUCGGGUUGUAAAGCUCUUUUGGCGGGGACGAUGAUGACGGUACCCGGCAGAAUAAGCCCCGGCUAACUUCGUGCCAGCAGCCGCGGUAAGACGAAGGGGGCUAGCGUUGUUCGGAAUUACUGGGCGUAAAGCGAGUGUAGGUGGUUGUCCAAGUUGGAUGUGAAAGCCUUGAGCUCAACUCAAGAAAUGCAUUCAGGACUGGGCGGCUAGAGGACCGGAGAGGAUAGUGGAAUUCCCAG
This 574-nucleotide ribosomal RNA is filed under the name uncultured Alphaproteobacteria bacterium. Its description in RNAcentral is "bacterial SSU rRNA". It matches the Rfam family "Bacterial small subunit ribosomal RNA", at positions 56 to 673 of the family's 1533-position model. The record is from RNAcentral. Lineage: Bacteria; Pseudomonadati; Pseudomonadota; Alphaproteobacteria.